Molecule: long non-coding RNA, 332 nt
Filed under: Eucalyptus grandis
Lineage: Eukaryota; Viridiplantae; Streptophyta; Magnoliopsida; Myrtales; Myrtaceae
Description: long non-coding RNA (EGRA_LNC003015)
Source: RNAcentral
UAAUCCCGAGCUCCGACGACCUAGCCACUGCACCUCCGUCCGGCGCUGCUCGCCACCGCGACGGAGUCCCUCCCUCAGCCGACACUGCCUCCGCUCGCCGCCUGCAGAUCUGAGAUCCCCACAGCAGCCGAUCCAGAUCCGACGCCUUUCCUCCUCCAGAUCUAGAAUCGCACCGCCGCCGAGCCAACCUUCCCCGUGCCGCCGCGUCGCCAUCCCGAAGCCGCCUCGCCGCCCCGACGACCCGCGAGCUGUCCCGACGCGUCGCCGAACCGCCUGUUGCCUGCUGGUCACGGCGUUGCUGUCCUGACGCCACCCCCGGUGCCCUCGCCGGA